CCACAGGCUCUUUUCAGAGUCAUUCCCUUUUAAAUGAAAUAAAUG
Non-coding RNA from Egretta garzetta (little egret), 45 nucleotides. NCBI's taxonomy places the organism in Eukaryota, Metazoa, Chordata, Aves, Pelecaniformes, Ardeidae. The record is from Rfam.